Small RNA from Anabaena cylindrica PCC 7122, 53 nucleotides. It matches the Rfam family "Cyanobacteria heterocyst sRNA". NCBI's taxonomy places the organism in Bacteria, Bacillati, Cyanobacteriota, Cyanophyceae, Nostocales, Nostocaceae. The record is from Rfam.
GUACGUUGUUAAGCACAGCAAUUAUAGAGGUUUGGUAAUAAACCAAACCUUUU